CCUACGGGGGGCAGCAGUGAGGAAUAUUGGUCAAUGGACGAGAGUCUGAACCAGCCAAGUAGCGUGAAGGAUGACUGCCCUAUGGGUUGUAAACUUCUUUUAUAUGGGAAUAAAACGUUCCACGUGUGGGAUUUUGUAUGUACCAUAUGAAUAAGGAUCGGCUAACUCCGUGCCAGCAGCCGCGGUAAUACGGAGGAUCCGAGCGUUAUCCGGAUUUAUUGGGUUUAAAGGGUGCGUAGGUGGAUUGUUAAGUCAGUUGUGAAAGUUUGCGGCUCAACCGUAAAAUUGCAGUUGAAACUGGCAGUCUUGAGUACAGUAGAGGUGGGCGGAAUGCGUGGUGUAGCGGUGAAAUGCUUAGAUAUCACGAAGAACUCCGAUUGCGAAGGCAGUUCACUGGACUGCAACUGACACUGAGGCUCGAAAGUGUGGGUAUCAAACAGGAUUAGAUACCCCGGUAGUC
RNAcentral lists this ribosomal RNA (460 nucleotides) under uncultured bacterium. RNAcentral describes it as "partial 16S ribosomal RNA". It matches the Rfam family "Bacterial small subunit ribosomal RNA", at positions 338 to 795 of the family's 1533-position model. The record is from RNAcentral.